GACGAACGCUGGCGGCGUGCUUAACACAUGCAAGUCGAACGGUAAGGCCCUUCGGGGUACACGAGUGGCGAACGGGUGAGUAACACGUGGGUGAUCUGCCCUGCACUUCGGGAUAAGCCUGGGAAACUGGGUCUAAUAACGGAUAGGACCACUGCCUGCAUGGGUGGGGGUGGAAAGCUUUUGCGGUGUGGGAUGGGCCCGCGGCCUAUCAGCUUGUUGGUGGGGGGAUGGCCUACCAAGGCGACGACGGGUAGCCGGCCUGAGCGGGUGACCGGCGACACUGGGAAUGAGAUACGGCCCAAGCUCCUACGGGAGGCAGCAGUGGGGAAUAUUGCACAAUGGGCGCGAGCCUGAUGCAGCGACGCCGCGUGAGGGAUGACGGCCUUCGGGUUGUAAACCUCUUUCAGCACCGACGAAGCGCAAGUGACGGUAGGUGCAGAAGAAGGACCGGCCAACUACGUGCCAGCCGCCGCAGUAA
RNAcentral lists this ribosomal RNA (478 nucleotides) under uncultured bacterium. RNAcentral describes it as "partial 16S ribosomal RNA". It matches the Rfam family "Bacterial small subunit ribosomal RNA", at positions 28 to 523 of the family's 1533-position model. The record is from RNAcentral.